CAGGCUUAACACAUGCAAGUCGAGGGGCAGCAUGGUCCUAGCUUGCUAAGGCCGAUGGCGACCGGCGCACGGGUGAGUAACACGUAUCCAACCUGCCGUCUACUCUUGGACAGCCUUCUGAAAGGAAGAUUAAUACAAGAUGGCAUCAUGAGUCCGCAUGUUCACAUGAUUAAAGGUAUUCCGGUAGACGAUGGGGAUGCGUUCCAUUAGAUAGUAGGCGGGGUAACGGCCCACCUAGUCUUCGAUGGAUAGGGGUUCUGAGAGGAAGGUCCCCCACAUUGGAACUGAGACACGGUCCAAACUCCUACGGGAGGCAGCAGUGAGGAAUAUUGGUCAAUGGGCGAGAGCCUGAACCAGCCAAGUAGCGUGAAGGAUGACUGCCCUAUGGGUUGUAAACUUCUUUUAUAAAGGAAUAAAGUCGGGUAUGCAUACCCGUUUGCAUGUACUUUAUGAAUAAGGAUCGGCUAACUCCGUGCCAGCAGCCGCGGUAAUACGGAGGAUCCGAGCGUUAUCCGGAUUUAUUGGGUUUAAAGGGAGCGUAGAUGGAUGUUUAAGUCAGUUGUGAAAGUUUGCGGCUCAACCGUAAAAUUGCAGUUGAUACUGGAUAUCUUGAGUGCAGUUGAGGCAGGCGGAAUUCGUGGUGUAGCGGUGAAAUGCUUAGAUAUCACGAAGAACUCCGAUUGCGAAGGCAGCCUGCUAAGCUGCAACUGACAUUGAGGCUCGAAAGUGUGGGUAUCAAACAGGAUUAGAUACCCUGGUAGUCCACACGGUAAACGAUGAAUACUCGCUGUUUGCGAUAUACGGCAAGCGGCCAAGCGAAAGCGUUAAGUAUUCCACCUGGGGAGUACGCCGGCAACGGUGAAACUCAAAGGAAUUGACGGGGGCCCGCACAAGCGGAGGAACAUGUGGUUUAAUUCGAUGAUACGCGAGGAACCUUACCCGGGCUUAAAUUGCAGAUGAAUUACGGUGAAAGCCGUAAGCCGCAAGGCAUCUGUGAAGGUGCUGCAUGGUUGUCGUCAGCUCGUGCCGUGAGGUGUCGGCUUAAGUGCCAUAACGAGCGCAACCCUUGUUGUCAGUUACUAACAGGUUCCGCUGAGGACUCUGACAAGACUGCCAUCGUAAGAUGUGAGGAAGGUGGGGAUGACGUCAAAUCAGCACGGCCCUUACGUCCGGGGCUACACACGUGUUACAAUGGGGGGUACAGAGGGCCGCUACCACGCGAGUGGAUGCCAAUCCCCAAAACCUCUCUCAGUUCGGACUGGAGUCUGCAACCCGACUCCACGAAGCUGGAUUCGCUAGUAAUCGCGCAUCAGCCACGGCGCGGUGAAUACGUUCCCGGGCCUUGUACACACCGCCCGUCAAGCCAUGGGAGCCGGGGGUACCUGAAGUGCGUAACCGCGAGGAGCGCCCUAGGGUAAAACUGGUGACUGGGGCUA
Molecule: ribosomal RNA, 1436 nt
Filed under: uncultured organism
Description: 16S ribosomal RNA
Rfam family: Bacterial small subunit ribosomal RNA
Source: RNAcentral